Molecule: ribosomal RNA, 253 nt
Filed under: uncultured bacterium
Lineage: Bacteria
Description: partial 16S ribosomal RNA
Rfam family: Bacterial small subunit ribosomal RNA
Source: RNAcentral
UACGUAGGGUGCGAGCGUUGUCCGGAAUUAUUGGGCGUAAAGGGCUCGUAGGCGGUUUGUCGCGUCGGGAGUGAAAACCCAGGGCUUAACCCUGGGCUGGCUUUCGAUACGGGCAGACUAGAGGUAUGCAGGGGAGAACGGAAUUCCUGGUGUAGCGGUGAAAUGCGCAGAUAUCAGGAGGAACACCGGUGGCGAAGGCGGCACCCUGGACCAACACUGACACUGAGGAGCGAAAGCCAGGGGAGCAAACGGG